GAUGAACGCUGGCGGCGUGCCUAAUACAUGCAAGUCGAGCGAACAGACGAGGAGCUUGCUCCUCUGACGUUAGCGGCGGACGGGUGAGUAACACGUGGAUAACCUACCUAUAAGACUGGGAUAACUUCGGGAAACCGGAGCUAAUACCGGAUAAUAUAUUAACCGCAUGGUUCAAUAGUGAAAGACGGUUUUGCUGUCACUUAUAGAUGGAUCCGCGCCGCAUUAGCUAGUUGGUAAGGUAACGGCUUACCAAGGCAACGAUGCGUAGCCGACCUGAGAGGGUGAUCGGCCACACUGGAACUGAGACACGGUCCAGACUCCUACGGGAGGCAGCAGUAGGGAAUCUUCCGCAAUGGGCGAAAGCCUGACGGAGCAACGCCGCGUGAGUGAUGAAGGUCUUCGGAUCGUAAAACUCUGUUAUUAGGGAAGAACAAAUGUGUAAGUAACUAUGCACGUCUUGACGGUACCUAAUCAGAAAGCCACGGCUAACUACGUG
This 496-nucleotide ribosomal RNA is filed under the name uncultured bacterium. Its description in RNAcentral is "partial 16S ribosomal RNA". It matches the Rfam family "Bacterial small subunit ribosomal RNA", at positions 28 to 507 of the family's 1533-position model. The record is from RNAcentral.